AGGGGUGCGGCCUCCCUCUUUACAGAAAGAACAAAAAAACAGAGCAUAAACUCAGAUUUCUCAGAACACAGAACUACACUAUCCUUGAAUAGAAUUUCAGACUCAUUUAUAAAUUCUAGGAUUCUUCUGAGAUUAUUUUCUUCUCAAUUUUUCAUUUUCCUGUUUGGAUGCCGAGAAAAAAAACGCAUUAAAGAAUAGAAAAACUCUCUUUCUCCAGACUUAGCAUUGCUUCUUCUGUACUAUUCGAGCUUUCAUCUUCUAAAUAAAAACUAAGUUUCAGCUAUUCUACACUCGGCUGAUCUCAUUCCUUUUUCAUUUUCUUUGCUUCCCUUCUUGUUCUUAUGGUUUCCAAGUAACUCUAUUUCAAAGUAAGCGUGAAAAGGACGGUUCUGGUUUUAGGCGGCCUUGAGAACCUUUGAAGGUUUCGCUGUUUGUUUUGUUUUGUUCUCUCUCUCUCUCUCUCU
Molecule: unclassified non-coding RNA, 464 nt
Filed under: Hevea brasiliensis (rubber tree)
Lineage: Eukaryota; Viridiplantae; Streptophyta; Magnoliopsida; Malpighiales; Euphorbiaceae
Source: RNAcentral